CCUACUUCAUAAGAACACAUGUGCUGGGGAAUUUAUCGGCUCAUGAAACUGAAUGUUGUACGUGUAGAUUUCAGGCACCACUGGAUGGAGCAAAGUCAGCAGGCACUCUGUCUCGCUUCACUCUGGAGCCUUCCUCUGGACUGAUUUCACUCUCCGAGAGGAAAGACACAACGUCUUAUCGCCUGUGUUUUAUCUGAUUUUGAUUGGGAAUUCAAGCUAUGUUUCUUAUUCUGUUGAAGACAUACUGAAACCAGACAAAGGAUCUUAAGGUGAUUUGCAAAAGCAAUGAUAGAGAAGGAAAUGGGAUCAAG
This is a non-coding RNA of Ictidomys tridecemlineatus (thirteen-lined ground squirrel), 311 nucleotides long. NCBI's taxonomy places the organism in Eukaryota, Metazoa, Chordata, Mammalia, Rodentia, Sciuridae. The record is from RefSeq and is a predicted model, not a curated record.